CCUACGGGUGGCAGCAGUGGGGAAUAUUGGGCAAUGGGCGCAAGCCUGACCCAGCAACGCCGCGUGAAGGAAGAAGGCUUUCGGGUUGUAAACUUCUUUUCUGAGGGACGAAGAAAGUGACGGUACCUCAGGAAUAAGCCACGGCUAACUACGUGCCAGCAGCCGCGGUAAUACGUAGGUGGCAAGCGUUAUCCGGAUUUAUUGGGUGUAAAGGGCGUGUAGGCGGGAAAGCAAGUCAGAUGUGAAAACUCAGGGCUCAACCCUGAGCCUGCAUUGGAAACUGUUGUUCUUGAGUGAUGGAGGGGCAAGCGGAAUUCCGUGUGUAGCGGUGAAAUGCGUAGAUAUACGGAGGAACACCAGUGGCGAAGGCGGAUUACUGGACAGUAACUGACGCUGAGGCGCGAAGGCGUGGGGAGCAAACAGGAUUAGAUACCCGUGUAGUC
Molecule: ribosomal RNA, 443 nt
Filed under: uncultured bacterium
Lineage: Bacteria
Description: partial 16S ribosomal RNA
Rfam family: Bacterial small subunit ribosomal RNA
Source: RNAcentral